GGGCCGUCACACCAUCGGUCACAGAGUGUCUCCAGGUGUAUAACAGAAUGGCUAACAAGCCAUAAUAGCAAUCGGCAUAGAGCCGAGUAUGUCAAAGAAUAGCAAAAUGGUCAAAGGCGAUAAUUUCAUAAAAUGGCACUAUAAGCCAUAAAUCACGAAAUGGCAUAAAGCCAUAAGCAGUACUGCAAUCGAAAUCUUAUUGGCAUACCAACCAAUCCAAACCAAUCAUAUUAGGCAUACUAAGGCAUAUUAACAUAGUUUUUUU
This 265-nucleotide unclassified non-coding RNA is filed under the name Hevea brasiliensis (rubber tree). The record is from RNAcentral. Lineage: Eukaryota; Viridiplantae; Streptophyta; Magnoliopsida; Malpighiales; Euphorbiaceae.